GCUGGGCGCGGUGGCGUACGCCUGUGGUCCAAGCUACUCGGGAGGCUGAGGCAGAAGAAUCGCUUGAACCCGGGAGGCAGGGGUUGCAGUGAGCCGAGAUCUCACCGCUGCACCCCAGCCUGGGGAACAGAGCGAGACUCCGCCUCAA
RNAcentral lists this small RNA (148 nucleotides) under Macaca fascicularis (crab-eating macaque). RNAcentral describes it as "Metazoan signal recognition particle RNA (ENSMFAG00000048571.1)". The record is from Rfam by way of RNAcentral. Lineage: Eukaryota; Metazoa; Chordata; Mammalia; Primates; Cercopithecidae.